Girardinichthys multiradiatus is the source of this 742-nucleotide long non-coding RNA. RefSeq lists it as uncharacterized. The record is from RefSeq and is a predicted model, not a curated record. NCBI's taxonomy places the organism in Eukaryota, Metazoa, Chordata, Actinopteri, Cyprinodontiformes, Goodeidae. The transcript is spliced from 5 exons.
UUUAGGCCUGUUGCUAUCGUCAGAAUAAGGAUGUUUGUUGCAAAGGUCAAAUUGUUGGGCGUUACGGAAACAAAUGUCUGUGCUGCAGUGCCACAGAGGAAAAGAUAGAACAGAGAGCAGACAGGGAAGACAUACACCCACAGACACACAUGCAGGCAACCGAGCUGGUAAAUGUGAUUCAGCUCAUCUGCGAUUGGCCGAAGGUGUGGUGGAUCCGUGCCAUAGUCAGAGAGAGAAAAUGGGAAGACCCAUGCAUCACAUUCCAAAUAUCAGAAGUCUUCAUCGUUCCAGCUUCCAACUGAUUGCCGUGCUUUGUAAAAACUCUACACUUUUCCAAGCACUGUCCUGUGAGCCAACAUGUUGAGGUGUGUUGAGCAGAUCCAUCAGAGAGCAUCACGCAGUGAACAAGAGCAUUCGACAGAUGCAGUCAAUCUCAUGGAAUGAUUCAUCAGUACAGAAAGUACAACGAGCCUCUGAAGAGGUGGAGGUGAUGCAGGCAUACCUCGGUGUUCACUUGAACAACAAACUGGACUUGCUGAUGAAACAGUGAAGCUGUCGGUACUUUUUGAAGAAGCUAAGGCAGAAGAAAAAUACAGCCCCUUCCAGCAAGUGCUGGAUCUGUCCUGGGGCCUCCUCCCAGUGGGAAUGAAAAAGCUCCAAAGAGAGGCCUCCUGAUCUACAUCUAACUCCUUUUAAUGCAGGGGAGCAGAUGCUCUACUCCUGCUCGCUAAUGCUGAGUCCA